Molecule: non-coding RNA, 74 nt
Organism: Caulochytrium protostelioides
Lineage: Eukaryota; Fungi; Chytridiomycota; Caulochytriomycetes; Caulochytriales; Caulochytriaceae
Source: the annotation of a GenBank genome assembly
GGGUCAAUAGCGCAGUUUGGCAGCGCAAUCGUUUCCUGAACGACAGGCCUCCGGUUCAAAUCCGGAUUGAUCCG